CUUUUUAUUAUUAUUCGAGAUGAUCAUG
RNAcentral lists this small RNA (28 nucleotides) under Arabidopsis thaliana (thale cress). RNAcentral describes it as "ATSL249150". The record is from RNAcentral. Lineage: Eukaryota; Viridiplantae; Streptophyta; Magnoliopsida; Brassicales; Brassicaceae.